RNAcentral lists this ribosomal RNA (886 nucleotides) under Tumebacillus amylolyticus. Its description in RNAcentral is "partial 23S ribosomal RNA". It matches the Rfam family "Bacterial large subunit ribosomal RNA", at positions 1 to 888 of the family's 2925-position model. Lineage: Bacteria; Bacillati; Bacillota; Bacilli; Caryophanales; Alicyclobacillaceae. The record is from RNAcentral.
GGUUAAGCUACGAAGGGCGCACGGAGGAUGCCUUGGCGCCAGGUGCCGAUGAAGGACGGGGCAAACGCCGAUACGCUUCGGGGAGUCGUAAGCAGACUUUGAUCCGGAGAUUUCCGAAUGGGGAAACCCACUACUCGUAAUGGAGUAGUACUGUACACUGAAUCCAUAGGUGUAUAGAGGUACACCAGGGGAACUGAAACAUCUAAGUACCCUGAGGAAGAGAAAACAAUAGUGAUUCCCUAAGUAGCGGCGAGCGAACGGGGAGUAGCCCAAACCGUACGGCUUCGGUUGUACGGGGUUGCGGGGCGUUCCAUCAGGUAGGUUGUUUGGGUAGGAGAAGGGUCUGGAAAGGCCCACCGAAGAGAGUGAAAGUCUCGUAUCUAAAACGCAAACACCGCCGGAGCGAUACCCCAAGUACCGCGGGACACGAGAAAUCCCGUGGGAAUCAAGGAGGACCACCUCCUAAGGCUAAAUACUACCUGGCGACCGAUAGUGAACCAGUACCGUGAGGGAAAGGUGAAAAGCACCGCGGGAGCGGAGUGAAAAAGAACCUGAAACCGUGUGCCUACAAUCAGUCGGAGGGCGUUCAUGCCUGACGGCGUGCCUUUUGUAGAAUGAACCGGCGAGUUACGAUCGCGAGCGAGGUUAAGGUGAGAAGCCGGAGCCGUAGCGAAAGCGCGUCUGAAGAGGGCGAAAGUUCUCGGUCGUAGACCCGAAACCGGGUGAUCUACCCCUGGACAGGUUGAAGUUGCAGUAAAAUGCAAUGGAGGACCGAACCCACGCACGUUGAAAAGUGCGGGGAUGAGCUGGGGGUAGCGGUGAAAUUCCAAUCGAACCCGGAGAUAGCUGGUUCUCCCCGAAAUAGCUUUAGGGCUAGCGUUAGAGU